This 73-nucleotide transfer RNA is filed under the name Mus musculus (house mouse). RNAcentral describes it as "tRNA-Asn". The record is from RNAcentral. Lineage: Eukaryota; Metazoa; Chordata; Mammalia; Rodentia; Muridae.
GGCGAGAUGGCUCAGUGGUUAAGAGCACUGACUGUUCUUCAGAAGGUCCUGAGUUCAAAUUCCAGCAACCACA